UGUGACUUAAAGGAAACACAUCAAUACACAAUACAUAGAGUUAUCAACACUAUCACAUUUAACUUAACUUCAAUCAUGAUCCAAUACCAUAUAAUAUACAUAUUAAGAGCUUAAGAGGAUUUAGACAGAAUUCUUGCAAAGUUAAAUGAAUCAGUCAAUCAAAGAAUUUCGACAAGAUAGCCAUCAUUUCUUGCAAAUCAAAGGACAAUAUAGAUAUAUGAUAUGCACCUUGAGAUCAAAUAGCAUUUGGAUCCGGAAUCGUUUGGAACAGAGACCUCGACGCAAAAAUCUCAAAUGGAAAGCUCUACGAGGCUGUCAAUAACAUCCUCACUCACCUCAGAUAGGGACCCGAAUGAAAAUAAUAAGUAAACCAGAAAUCGACAUGAAAAUCGAAGAGAUUCGAACUCGAAAUGAGAAUGAAAAAAGUAUGUUCGAUCCUUCUGUUCUCACUGUUUUUCAACUCUCCUGUUUUCCCAUUCAUGUUGCCCCUUUUCUAUUUCGAUUUAAAUUCCCUUCUCUUGCUAUUUCUGUUUUGUAUUAGUUCAGAAGAGAGGUGAAAGCUCGUCGUGGGUAUGUGUUUGUUGUUGUGUGAUUGAUUUUUUGGCGAGGGAUCGUGUGGUUGAAAAGGCAGAACGCUGGGAGGAGUAUUUGGGUGUCCUCCGAUCUCAGCUUUUCCAGGCGUCCCUUCCCUAUUUAUUAUUUACUGUAUUCGUAUAUGUGUGUUUGUAUCUGCCUGGAUUUGUUAUGAAGAAAUCACAGCUGCGCAGCCCUCUCUUCUAGGGGUCUCCUUCUGUGUAUAGGCGUACAUGUGUG
RNAcentral lists this long non-coding RNA (813 nucleotides) under Nicotiana benthamiana. Its description in RNAcentral is "long non-coding RNA (NBEN_LNC007664)". The record is from RNAcentral. Lineage: Eukaryota; Viridiplantae; Streptophyta; Magnoliopsida; Solanales; Solanaceae.